RNAcentral lists this ribosomal RNA (254 nucleotides) under uncultured bacterium. RNAcentral's name for it is "partial 16S ribosomal RNA". It matches the Rfam family "Bacterial small subunit ribosomal RNA", at positions 524 to 776 of the family's 1533-position model. The record is from RNAcentral.
UACGGGGGGAGCAAGCGUUGUUCGGAUUUACUGGGCGUAAAGGGCGCGUAGGCGGCCAGCACAAGUCAGUUGUGAAAUCUCCGAGCUUAACUCGGAACGGUCAACUGAUACUGUGCGGCUAGAGUGCGGAAGGGGCAACUGGAAUUCUUGGUGUAGCGGUGAAAUGCGUAGAUAUCAAGAGGAACACCUGCGGCGAAGGCGGGUUGCUAGGCCGACACUGACGCUGAGGCGCGAAAGCCAGGGGAGCGAACGGG